GUACACACCGCCCGUCGCUACUACCGAUUGAAUGGCUUAGUGAGGCCUCCGGAUUGGCUUGAGCAAUCUUGUCGAGAAGUUGGUCAAACUUGGUCAUUUAGAGGAAGUAAAAGUCGUAACAAGGUAACCGUAGGUGAACCUGCAGAAGGAUCA
RNAcentral lists this ribosomal RNA (153 nucleotides) under uncultured eukaryote. Its description in RNAcentral is "partial small subunit ribosomal RNA". It matches the Rfam family "Eukaryotic small subunit ribosomal RNA", at positions 1662 to 1828 of the family's 1831-position model. The record is from RNAcentral.